Molecule: ribosomal RNA, 867 nt
Filed under: Nectria pseudotrichia
Lineage: Eukaryota; Fungi; Ascomycota; Sordariomycetes; Hypocreales; Nectriaceae
Description: partial large subunit ribosomal RNA
Rfam family: Eukaryotic large subunit ribosomal RNA
Source: RNAcentral
CGGGGAAAAGAACCCACCAGGGAUUGCCCUAGUAACGGCGAGUGAAGCGGCAACAGCUCAAAUUUGAAAUCUGGCCCUCGUGGUCCGAGUUGUAAUUUGUAGAGGAUGCUUUUGGUUAGGUGCCUUCCGAGUUCCCUGGAACGGGACGCCAUAGAGGGUGAGAGCCCCGUCUGGUUGGACACCGAGCCUCUGUAAAGCUCCUUCGACGAGUCGAGUAGUUUGGGAAUGCUGCUCUAAAUGGGAGGUAUAUGUCUUCUAAAGCUAAAUAUUGGCCAGAGACCGAUAGCGCACAAGUAGAGUGAUCGAAAGAUGAAAAGCACUUUGAAAAGAGGGUUAAAAAGUACGUGAAAUUGUUGAAAGGGAAGCGCUUGUGACCAGACUUGGGCCCGGUCAAUCAUCCAGGGUUCUCCCUGGUGCACUUGGCCGGCCCAGGCCAGCAUCAGUUUGUCGCGGGGGAUAAAGACGUUGGGAAUGUGGCUCCUCCGGGAGUGUUAUAGCCCUUCGUGUAAUACCCUGCUUCGGACUGAGGUUCGCGCAUCUGCAAGGAUGCUGGCGUAAUGGUCAUCAGCGACCCGUCUUGAAACACGGACCAAGGAGUCGUCUUCGUAUGCGAGUGUUCGGGUGUCAAACCCCUACGCGUAAUGAAAGUGAACGCAGGUGAGAGCUUCGGCGCAUCAUCGACCGAUCCUGAUGUUCUCGGAUGGAUUUGAGUAAGAGCAUACGGGGCCGGACCCGAAAGAAGGUGAACUAUGCCUGUAUAGGGUGAAGCCAGAGGAAACUCUGGUGGAGGCUCGCAGCGGUUCUGACGUGCAAAUCGAUCGUCAAAUAUGGGCAUGGGGGGCGAAAGACUAAUCGAACCUUCUAGAG